AUUGAACGCUGGCGGUAUGCCUAACACAUGCAAGUCGAACGAGGUAGCAAUACCUAGUGGCGGACGGGUGAGGAAUACGUAGGGAUCUGCCCUUAAGUGGGGGAUAACCCGGGGAAACCCGGAUUAAUACCGCAUGAUCUCGCAAGAGCAAAGAGGGGGACCGCAAGGCCUCUCGCUUUUGGAGGAACCUACGUCGGAUUAGCUAGUUGGUGAGGUAAUGGCUCACCAAGGCGACGAUCCGUAACUGGUCUGAGAGGAUGAUCAGUCACACCGGAACUGAGACACGGUCCGGACUCCUACGGGGGGCAGCAGUGGGGAAUAUUGGACAAUGGGCGAAAGCCUGAUCCAGCAAUACCGCGUGUGUGAAGAAGGCCUUCGGGUUGUAAAGCACUUUAAGUUGGGAAGAAAAAGCUUCACCUAAUACGUGAAGCCUUGACGGUACCGACAGAAUAAGCACCGGCUAACUCUGUGCCAGCAGCCGCGGUAAUACAGAGGGUGCUAGCGUUAAUCGGAUUUACUGGGCGUAAAGCGUGCGUAGGUGGUUUGAUAAGUCGAUUGUGAAAGCCCCGGGCUUAACCUGGGAAUUGCGGUCGAUACUGUCAGACUCGAAAACGGUAGAGGGAGGUGGAACUCCAGGU
RNAcentral lists this ribosomal RNA (638 nucleotides) under uncultured bacterium. Its description in RNAcentral is "bacterial SSU rRNA". It matches the Rfam family "Bacterial small subunit ribosomal RNA", at positions 28 to 674 of the family's 1533-position model. The record is from RNAcentral.